RNAcentral lists this ribosomal RNA (505 nucleotides) under uncultured bacterium. RNAcentral describes it as "partial 16S ribosomal RNA". It matches the Rfam family "Bacterial small subunit ribosomal RNA", at positions 28 to 507 of the family's 1533-position model. The record is from RNAcentral.
GACGGACGCUGGCGGCGUGCCUAAUAUAUGCAAGUAGAACGCACAGUUUAUACCGUAGCUUGCUACACCAUAGACUGUGAGUUGCGAACGGGUGAGUAACGCGUAGGUAACCUGCCUGGUAGCGGGGGAUAACUAUUGGAAACGAUAGCUAAUACCGCAUAAUAUUAAUUAUUGCAUGAUAAUUAAUUGAAAGGUGCAAUUGCACCACUACCAGAUGGACCUGCGUUGUAUUAGCUAGUAGGUGAGGUAACGGCUCACCUAGGCGACGAUACAUAGCCGACCUGAGAGGGUGAUCGGCCACACUGGGACUGAGACACGGCCCAGACUCCUACGGGAGGCAGCAGUAGGGAAUCUUCGGCAAUGGACGAAAGUCUGACCGAGCAACGCCGCGUGAGUGAAGAAGGUUUUCGGAUCGUAAAGCUCUGUUGUAAGAGAAGAACGGGUGUGAGAGUGGAAAGUUCACACUGUGACGGUAUCUUACCAGAAAGGGACGGCUAACUACGUG